RNAcentral lists this ribosomal RNA (153 nucleotides) under uncultured Bartonella sp. RNAcentral's name for it is "partial 16S ribosomal RNA". It matches the Rfam family "Bacterial small subunit ribosomal RNA", at positions 1201 to 1354 of the family's 1533-position model. The record is from RNAcentral. Lineage: Bacteria; Pseudomonadati; Pseudomonadota; Alphaproteobacteria; Hyphomicrobiales; Bartonellaceae.
CUUACGGGCUGGGCUACACACGUGCUACAAUGGUGGUGACAGUGGGCAGCGAGACCGCGAGGUCGAGCUAAUCUCCAAAAGCCAUCUCAGUUCGGAUUGCACUCUGCAACUCGAGUGCAUGAAGUUGGAAUCGCUAGUAAUCGUGGAUCAGCA